CCCCUCUCAGGAUUGCACCUGGAGAGUUUCCACUACUCUACCAGUCUCGGCUAUGGGAGGGAGAGUAAAGCAGAGGCCUGUCCGUUCCAUUCCUAGAUUGGACAGUGGCUAGCGAGCGGAAGGCAAUCUGCUACAAGA
This 138-nucleotide small nucleolar RNA is filed under the name Ornithorhynchus anatinus (platypus). Lineage: Eukaryota; Metazoa; Chordata; Mammalia; Monotremata; Ornithorhynchidae. The record is from RNAcentral.